CGCUAGUAAUCGCAGAUCAGCAUGUUGCGGUGAAUACGUUCCCGGGCCUUGUACACACCGCCCGUCACACCAUGAGAGUCGGGAACACCCGAAGUCCGUAGCCUGACCGCGAAGGGGGGCGCGGCCGAAGGUGGGUUCGAUAAUUGGGGUGAAGUCGUAACAAGGUACC
RNAcentral lists this ribosomal RNA (169 nucleotides) under uncultured bacterium. RNAcentral describes it as "partial 16S ribosomal RNA". It matches the Rfam family "Bacterial small subunit ribosomal RNA", at positions 1333 to 1500 of the family's 1533-position model. The record is from RNAcentral.